AAUAGAUACCCCGGUAGUCCAUGCCGUAAACGUUGGGAACUAGGUGUGGGUCUCAUUCCACGAGAUCCGUGCCGCAGCUAACGCAUUAAGUUCCCCGCCUGGGGAGUACGGCCGCAAGGCUAAAACUCAAAGGAAUUGACGGGGGCCCGCACAAGCGGCGGAGCAUGCGGAUUAAUUCGAUGCAACGCGAAGAACCUUACCAAGGCUUGACAUAUGCGAGAACGCGGCAGAGAUGUCGUUCUCUUUGGACACUCGCAUACAGGUGGUGCAUGGUUGUCGUCAGCUCGUGUCGUGAGAUGUUGGGUUAAGUCCCGCAACGAGCGCAACCCUCGUUCUAUGUUGCCAGCACGUGAUGGUGGGGACUCAUAGGAGACUGCCGGGGUCAACUCGGAGGAAGGUGGGGAUGACGUCAAAUCGAUCAUGCCCCUUAUGUCUUGGGCUUCACGGCAUGCUACGAAUGGCCGGUACAAAGGGCUGCGAAACCGCGAGGUGGAGCGAAUCCCAAAAACCGGUCUCAGUUCGGAUUGGGGUCG
This 533-nucleotide ribosomal RNA is filed under the name uncultured bacterium. Its description in RNAcentral is "bacterial SSU rRNA". It matches the Rfam family "Bacterial small subunit ribosomal RNA", at positions 777 to 1306 of the family's 1533-position model. The record is from RNAcentral.